This 628-nucleotide ribosomal RNA is filed under the name uncultured marine bacterium. RNAcentral's name for it is "bacterial SSU rRNA". It matches the Rfam family "Bacterial small subunit ribosomal RNA", at positions 56 to 680 of the family's 1533-position model. The record is from RNAcentral.
UGCAGUCGAGCGGAUGAAGGUAGCUUGCUACCUGAUUCAGCGGCGGACGGGUGACUAAUGCCUAGGAAUCUGCGUGGGAGUGGGGGACACCGUUUCGAAAGGAACGCUAAUACCGCAUACGUCCUACGGGAAAAAGUGGGGGAUCUUCAGACCUCGCGCUAUCAUAUGAGCCUAGGUCGGAUUAGCUAGUUGGUGAGGUAAUGGCUCACCGAGGCGACGAUCCGCACCUGGUCUGAGAGGAUGAUCAGUCACGCUGGAACUGACACACGGUCCGGACUCCUACGGGAGGCAGCAGUGGGGAAUAUUGGACAAUGGGCGAAAGCCUGAUCCAGCCAUGCCGCGUGCGUGAAGAACGUCUUCGGAUUGAAAAGCACUUUAAGUUGGGAGGAAGGGGUGUAACCUAAUACGUUGCAAUUUUGACGUUACCGACGGAAUAGGCACCGGCUGACUCUGUGCCAGCAGCCGCGUUAAUACAGAGGGUGCAAGCGUUAAUCGGAAUUACUGGGCGUAUAGCGCGCGUAGGUGGUUUGUUAAGUUGGAUGUGAAAGCCCCGGGCUCAGCCUGUGAACUGCAUCCAAAACUGGAAAGCUAGAGUACGGUAGAGGGUGGUGGAAUUUCCUGUGUAGCG